AUGAGUUUGAUGAGUACUCAGCAAAUGGCACAAUAUAUUGAACAAGCUAGGUUUCGUCGGAGCAAGUCAACGAAAAAAAUGAGAAUGUUACGUAUUACUUUUCCAGGAUGAAUAGGAAAAUAAUUUGUUAUAUUACUUGAAGUGGAAUGCACCAUGUUCAGCUGUCAUGAUCUGUACAAACGAAUUUUUCUCCCAUUUUAUUAUUUUCCGAGAACGAAAGUCAAGUGCCUCAUGUCAUCUUGACAUCCAUCACAAUAAGAUGGCUUAUGCUUUUUGUGAGAGAAAUGGUACAUUUGCAGAAGUUUGUUUUAUAUGGCGUGAACUCCGAACCAUCCUUCUUGUUGAAGGCUAAUAAAUUGUUCCUCCCCAUACACUCAGAAACUCCAUUGCAGUUAUAACUAAGAACAUGCCACAAAAACUUCCCUUCAUACGAGUAUGGAGAUUACAGAGCUGAAGAAUGAUGAAUUAUAUGAGUAGUUUUGAGCAAUUUCAAUAUAAAUUCAGUGGAUUGAAAAUCUAUAUUCAAUAUUGGAAUUAAUUCUGGAAAUAAGGGCUUGUCAGCUUUUCUUAGAGGUCAUUUAUCAUCAGAAGAUCCAGCGACAGUGAAACAUAGAGGUGAUUAUCCCUCUUCUUCAUCGUUGAAUCAAACGUUUAACCUCCGCUAAACCAACGGUAGGGUUAAAUGAAACGCCAUCGCUGUAUAAUUCAAUGAAUUGCUGUCCUUAUCCCUUGAACCUCCUUUCAAGAAAAUGAAGCAAAAAAUGAGGUUAUGGAGUUGUUACCGAUAUAUUUAUAAGACAAAGUUGGACAGCCAUAAAAUGAGGAAAGUAUUGAAUCAGUUUCGUUUGAGCGUUUGAUGCGCAAAGUUCGCCCUUGAAGACUACA
This is a long non-coding RNA of Harmonia axyridis, 885 nucleotides long. RefSeq lists it as uncharacterized. The transcript is spliced from 3 exons. Lineage: Eukaryota; Metazoa; Arthropoda; Insecta; Coleoptera; Coccinellidae. The record is from RefSeq and is a predicted model, not a curated record.